AGUGAACGCUGGCGGUAGGCCUAACACAUGCAAGUCGAACGGCAGCACAGUAAGAGCUUGCUCUUACGGGUGGCGAGUGGCGGACGGGUGAGGAAUACAUCGGAAUCUACUUUUUCGUGGGGGAUAACGUAGGGAAACUUACGCUAAUACCGCAUACGACCUACGGGUGAAAGCAGGGGACCUUCGGACCUUGCGCGAUUGAAUGAGCCGAUGUCGGAUUAGCUAGUUGGCGGGGUAAAGGCCCACCAAGGCGCCGAUCCGUAGCUGGUCUGAGAGGAUGAUCAGCCACCCUGGAACUGAGACACGGCCCAGACUCCUACGGGAGGCAGCAGUGGGGAAUAUUGGACAAGGGGCGCAAGCCUGAUCCAGCCAUACCGCGUGGGUGAAGAAGGCCUUCGGGCUGUAAAGCCCUUUUGUUGGGAAAGAAAAGCAGCAGGUUAAUACCCCGCUGUUCUGACGGUACCCAAAGAAUAAGCACCGGCUAACUUCGUG
Molecule: ribosomal RNA, 492 nt
Filed under: uncultured bacterium
Lineage: Bacteria
Description: partial 16S ribosomal RNA
Rfam family: Bacterial small subunit ribosomal RNA
Source: RNAcentral